This is a long non-coding RNA of Patella vulgata (common limpet), 1462 nucleotides long. RefSeq lists it as uncharacterized. Lineage: Eukaryota; Metazoa; Mollusca; Gastropoda; Patellidae. The record is from RefSeq and is a predicted model, not a curated record. The transcript has 5 exons.
UAAAACUGAACCAUUUCGACGAUACAACCAUUUUAUUCGGGGCACGUUUCUUCAUACAGCACCAGCCGCAGAGGAAUCAUAUUUUCAUCAAACAUGGAAUCCAUCAUUAAAUUUCUAGUUUUCAUUGCCUUAUUAAGUGUGUGUUCAUCCCAGUUUACCUGUACUACCCUGCCCUCUGAUCUAACUAAAUGUGGCACUGAUCAUCUAAGUAGUAAAAUGCCUGAGUUAGCUGAGAUGCUAACGGGCACCACAGACUUUAUAGCUCUAGCGGUUUUAAUACCACACUGGAAAGACAUGUGUAUGUAUUCAAGUGAUGUGAAGGAUUUCUUUACUUGUAGUUUCAAUGCUAUAGAAAACUGUGCGGAAAGUGACUUUAUAGGAACAUACCCAACAGCUAGUCGAUUCAUUGAAGGUUUUGAUUAUGCUUGUAGCAAGGUUAACGAUGUGGACAUCGGCUGUUAUCAAAUCAAUCAAAGAGCUAUUCACGAAUGUGCCAUCACUGCUGCAGGGAGCCCACCCACAUCAGAUGUUAUAAAAGAUAUUGUAGAGCACAACUGCCGAAUCUUUGAAGCAGAAGUGGAAUGUACUAGCCGAUCAAUGACCACCUGUGAAGAUAGUAAGAAUAUAAUAGAAACAUAUCUGGAAUAUCUCGCACGACCUGCUUGCAGCGCCGCCAUCUACUUCCGGCCAAGUCUAACAUUGUCCGCCAUUAUGAUUUUUGUAGCAUAUUUUAUGAACAAACAGUGAUUUUCUUUUACUCGCCUUAGAUGUUAGACUGGGUAGCCUGCUAUCCUACGUACGUCAAACGUGCUUCUACGUCAAAAUCAUAGAAAUAUAUACAUAGAAUAAACCCAUGACGUAUUGCCUGAGCAAUGGUCACGAAUCAAAUUAGCUUAGCCGGAGCAGAACAGCAGAACGCUAAACCCCAUUUUAUUUCAUUAAAAUGUUCUCUCUUGAAAAUCGAGGGGUUGGAUGGCCGAAUGGUUAGCACGUGCGCGCUGUAUCAUAAGGCCUGUCAUUGAGACAAUUGGCGUGGUUUCGAAUCCCCGGUUGUACGUAACAAGGAGUAGAGUUGCCUGUCCAACCUCGUGGGUUUUCUCCGGGUCCUCCGGUUUCUUCCAACUGCUAAAGACCCCUACGUGCAAGCGAAUUUUUGAAAUAAAAUUAAACCAUAUGUUAGUCCCGAAAUGACCUAGUCUGUGUCGAUUGGACGUUGAAGUUAAACCCCAUUUCUCUCUCUCUCUCUCUCUCUUGAAAAACAUGUUUGACUGUAUUUUCGACAGAGUUUCACGCAACGUCAUGUAGAGCCGGUUACCCAGUCCACUUUAGAUGUAACCAAUAUCAUAUAUUCAUUUCAUUUACAUUUCUCUCGUAUGAAUAUGAUAAUGACGAGAUAAAUUGCUGUCAUACUGCAUUCUUCUCAUAUAUAAUUUAAAUAACCCAUGUAACACGUAUGGCAUAA